UACGGAGGGUGCAAGCGUUAUCCGGAUUCACUGGGUUUAAAGGGUGCGUAGGUGGGCAGGUAAGUCAGUGGUGAAAUCUCCGAGCUUAACUCGGAAACUGCCAUUGAUACUAUCUGUCUUGAAUAUCCUGGAGGUGAGCGGAAUAUGUCAUGUAGCGGUGAAAUGCUUAGAUAUGACAUAGAACACCAAUUGCGAAGGCAGCUCACUACGGGAUGAUUGACACUGAGGCACGAAAGCGUGGGGAUCAAACAGG
Molecule: ribosomal RNA, 253 nt
Filed under: uncultured bacterium
Lineage: Bacteria
Description: partial 16S ribosomal RNA
Rfam family: Bacterial small subunit ribosomal RNA
Source: RNAcentral